RNAcentral lists this ribosomal RNA (1166 nucleotides) under Serratia symbiotica. Its description in RNAcentral is "bacterial SSU rRNA". It matches the Rfam family "Bacterial small subunit ribosomal RNA", at positions 347 to 1504 of the family's 1533-position model. The record is from RNAcentral. Lineage: Bacteria; Pseudomonadati; Pseudomonadota; Gammaproteobacteria; Enterobacterales; Yersiniaceae.
AAUAACAUCUGGAAUCUAUCAACAAUUGGGCACACACUAUAAUCAACACCUACCACCUUGUUAACAAACGCUCUUCGGCUUUAAAACCACUUCAGGAGGGUGGAAGUGUAAAGCGUACCUAAGCCAAUGCCUUGACGUUCCUCGCAGAAGAAGCACAGGCUAAAUCCGGGCAAGAAGCCGGGGUAAUCAGGAGGGUGCAAGCGUUAAUCGGAAUUACUGGGCGUAAAGCGCAAGCAGGCGGUUUGUUAAGUCGGAUGUGAAAUCCCCGCGCUCAACGUGGGAACGGCAUUUGAGGCUGGCAAGCUAGAGUCUUGUAGAGGGGGGUAGAAUUCCAGGUGUAGCGGUGAAAUGCGUAGAGAUCUGGAGGAAUACCGGUGGCGAAGGCGGCCCCCUGGACAAAGACUGACGCUCAGGUGCGAAAGCGUGGGGAGCAAACAGGAUUAGAUACCCUGGUAGUCCACGCUGUAAACGAUGUCGAUUUGGAGGUUGCGCCCUUGAGGGGUGGCUUCCGUAGCUAACGCGUUAAAUCGACCGCCUGGGGAGUACGGCCGCAAGGUUAAAACUCAAAUGAAUUGACGGGGGCCCGCACAAGCGGUGGAGCAUGUGGUUUAAUUCGAUGCAACGCGAAGAACCUUACCUACUCUUGACAUCCAGAGAACUUUCCAGAGAUGGAGGGGUGCCUUCGGGAGCUCUGAGACAGGUGCUGCAUGGCUGUCGUCAGCUCGUGUUGUGAAAUGUUGGGUUAAGUCCCGCAACGAGCGCAACCCUUAUCCUUUGUUGCCAGCGAUAAAGUCGGGAACUCAAAGGAGACUGCCGGUGAUAAACCGGAGGAAGGUGGGGAUGACGUCAAGUCAUCAUGGCCCUUACGAGUAGGGCUACACACGUGCUACAAUGGCGUAUACAAAGAGAAGCGACCUCGCGAGAGCAAGCGGACCUCACAAAGUACGUCGUAGUCCGGAUUGGAGUCUGCAACUCGACUCCAUGAAGUCGGAAUCGCUAGUAAUCGUAGAUCAGAAUGCUGCGGUGAAUACGUUCCCGGGCCUUGUACACACCGCCCGUCACACCAUGGGAGUGGGUUGCAAAAGAAGUAGGUAGCUUAACCUUCGGGAGGGCGCUUACCACUUUGUGAUUCAUGACUGGGGUGAAGUCGUAACAAGGUAACCGUA